GUGUCAGCAGCCGCGGUAAUACGAAGGGGGCUAGCGUUGUUCGGAUUUACUGGGCGUAAAGCGCGCGUAGGCGGGUCACUAAGUCAGGGGUGAAAUCCCGAGGCUUAACCUCGGAACUGCCUUUGAUACUGGUGACCUGGAGAUCGGGAGAGGUUGGUGGAAUUCCGAGUGUAGAGGUGAAAUUCGUAGAUAUUCGGAGGAACACCAGAAGCGAAGGCGGCCAACUGGCCCGAUACUGACGCUGAGGCGCGAAAGCGUGGGGAGCAAACAGGAUUAGAAACCCGAGUAGUCC
Molecule: ribosomal RNA, 292 nt
Filed under: uncultured bacterium
Lineage: Bacteria
Description: partial 16S ribosomal RNA
Rfam family: Bacterial small subunit ribosomal RNA
Source: RNAcentral